AAAUUCCGCCCAGGGUUAGCCGGUACCUAAGUCGAGGCCGAAGGGUGUAGACGAUGGAUAGCAGGUCAACAUUCCUGCGCCACUAACGAGGACUGAUGGAGAGACGGCGUCUGUAGGGUGAGCGGUACGAUUAGAAAUGUCCGUAGACCACUUGAAAGUGGGGAAUAGGUAAAUCCGUCCCCAUAAGCCAACGGGUGGGCUCGACCGCAUAUACGUUCGGGAAGUCAUCUGAAGGACGUCCAAGAAAAUCUUCUCAGGGUUGAAUCGUUAGUGACCGUACUAAAACUGACACAGGUAGGUGAGACGAGAAGUCUAAGGCGCUCGGGAGAACACUGGUUAAGGAACUCUGCAAUAUGACCCUGUAACUUCGGGAUAAAGGGUGCCCUCUGGGGUUAACGCUCUGGGGGGUCACAGUAAAUCGGGAGCAGCGACUGUUUAUCAAAAACACAGGACUCUGCGAACACGCAAGUGGAUGUAUAGAGUCUGACGCCUGCCCGGUGUUGGUAGGUUAAGGAAGAGGGUUAGCCGUAGGGCGAAGCUCGCAACCGAAGCCCCAAUAAACGGCGGCCGUAACUAUGACGGUCCUAAGGUAGCGAAGUUCCUUGUCGGGUAAGUUCCGACCUGCAUGAAUGGCGUAACGACUGCUCUACUGUCUCAACCAGUGACCCGGUGAAAUUGUAGCCGUGGUGAAGAUGCCACGUUCCCGCAGUGUGACGGAAAGACCCCGUGAACCUUUACUGCAGGCAGAUAUUGGUCUCGGGCAUUCUCUGUGUAGGAUAGGUGGGAGGCUUUGAAGUUUCGGCGCCAGCCGAGAUGGAGCCAACGUUGAAAUACCACCCUGAGGUUGUCUUAGUUCUAACUCCGAUUCCCGUUAAUCCGGGCGGAGGACAGUGUCUGUUGGGCAGUUUGACUGGGGCGGUCUCCUCCGAAAUAAUAACGGAGGAGUUCAAAGGUACCCUCAGCCUGGUUGGCAAUCAGGCUUCGAGCGCAAAGGUAGAAGGGUGCUUAACUGCGAGGCUUAUCAGCCGAGCAGAGACGAAAGUCGGACUUAGUGAUCCGGUGAUUCCGUAUGGAAGGGUCAUCGCUCAUCAGAUAAAAGGUACUCUGGGGAUAACAGGCUUAUCGCUCCCGAGCGUCCAUAGCGGCGGAGCGGUUUGGCACCUCGAUGUCGGCUCAUCACAUCCUGGGGGUGGAGAAGCUCCCAAGGGUUUGGCUGUUCGCCAAUGAAAGUGGUACGUGAGCUGGGUUCAGACCGUCGUGAGACAGGUCGGUCCCUAUCUGCUGUGGGCGCACGAAACUUGCGGAGGUUCUUCUUUAGUACGAGAGGAUUUUGAAGGACGUUCCUCUGGUGUACCAGUUGUCGCGCUAGCGGCACGGCUGGAUAGCUAUGAACGGAAAGGAUAAACGCUGAAAGCAUAUAAGCGUGAAGCCCGCUCCAAGAUCAGGUCUCGUUGGGCUUUAUGCCCGAAAGUCCCCUGGUAGACCACCAGGUUGAUAGGCCGGAUGUGUACGUGCAGUAAUGCAUUUAGCUAACCGGUACUAACGGACGAACGCUUGGCCAU
This 1562-nucleotide ribosomal RNA is filed under the name metagenome. RNAcentral describes it as "bacterial LSU rRNA". It matches the Rfam family "Bacterial large subunit ribosomal RNA", at positions 1365 to 2925 of the family's 2925-position model. The record is from RNAcentral.